AAACUGGAAUGAAUAAUUGUUUCAAGACUGAAAUUUAUUUCUAUUUUAUCGAACUAAGGAUCUUGACUUCAUAUUCCUUCUAUA
RNAcentral lists this transfer RNA (84 nucleotides) under Pleroma carvalhoi. RNAcentral's name for it is "Tibouchina carvalhoi tRNA-Tyr". Lineage: Eukaryota; Viridiplantae; Streptophyta; Magnoliopsida; Myrtales; Melastomataceae. The record is from RNAcentral.